GACGAACGCUGGCGGCGUGCUUAACACAUGCAAGUCGAACGGAGCGAAUGAAAGCUUGCUUUUAUAAGCUUAGUGGCAAACGGGUGAGUAACACGUAGACAACCUGCCGACAGGAUGGGGACAACAUUCCGAAAGGAAUGCUAAUACCGAAUGAAGCGGAGGAGAGGCAUCUCUCCUCUGUGAAAGAUGGCCUCUAUAUAUAAGCUAUCACCUGUUGAUGGGUCUGCGUCUGAUUAGCUGGUAGGUGAGGUAACGGCUCACCUAGGCGACGAUCAGUAGCCGGUCUGAGAGGAUGAACGGCCACAUUGGGACUGAGACACGGCCCAGACUCCUACGGGAGGCAGCAGUGGGGAAUCUUCCGCAAUGGGCGCAAGCCUGACGGAGCAACGCCGCGUGAGUGAAGAAGGUCUUCGGAUCGUAAAGCUCUGUUGAUGGGGACGAACGUACGGAGUGCGAAUAGUGCUCNGUAANGA
This 473-nucleotide ribosomal RNA is filed under the name uncultured bacterium. Its description in RNAcentral is "bacterial SSU rRNA". It matches the Rfam family "Bacterial small subunit ribosomal RNA", at positions 28 to 472 of the family's 1533-position model. The record is from RNAcentral.